Molecule: long non-coding RNA, 1572 nt
Organism: Oncorhynchus nerka (sockeye salmon)
Lineage: Eukaryota; Metazoa; Chordata; Actinopteri; Salmoniformes; Salmonidae
Exons: 2
Source: RefSeq, a predicted model, not a curated record
CCACUCCUGACAGUCAGAGAUAAGGGAGGAAGUCAGUAUUGUAAGACACACAACACAUAGCUAAGGCAUUCCUAGCCAAUCACCAAAUAUUUAUGUCGAAAAGCUUGCGAACUAUAAAGCUUUGCGCUCCUUUAAAAAAAAAAAUAUCGUGUUGAGCUGUUGAUCGUAGAUGCACUUGAUUCAAAAGCCCUGCGCACCGGGUAAGCAAAGUGUUCCUUUUUAACCAUUUUGUCUGAAGAGACAAACUCCGUCUACCCGGCCGACCGGCAAAUAUGAGACAAAAUCGAGUGCACCUACAGCGCUGCCCAAUCGGAUAGCUAAAAAUACCGUGGCUGCAGAAUUCCAUAACCUUGGCUACAGCUAAAUUUAAUAGGCUACUAGCCUAUGUAAGAUUUAAUAACUUUUAAAACCAUGAUCACAGAGAGACUGUCAGCGAAUACAGCAAAGAGCUGCUGUUUUUAUGAGUGGAAGAGUGUGUCCCCUCUCUCUGGCCAGUCUCACCGGAGGAAAGGAAGGAGAGAGCAGCGACCGUGAGAGGCGGUUGGGAAAAUCAUUUUGACCGGUCAUCCAACUCGGAAACUCUGGCAUCUUUCCAAAGCUCUGACUUUUCGAGCUGAAGAUCACUAACGUCGUGAUUUGACCUUGUUUGUCAUGUAUUGUCAUGUUAUGUCUUGUUCCUGUUCUUUCUCUUCACUUCGUUUCCCCCUGCUGGUCGUAUUAGGUUACCUUCUCUCCCUUUCCUUCCCCCAGCUGUUCCUCAUCUCCUCUAACUACCUCGUUUGCUCUCUCCCACCUGUUCCCUUUUUUCCCUCUGAUUAGGUCUCUAUUUCUCUCUCUGUUUCUGCUUCUGUCUUUGUCAGAUUCUCGUUUGCUUCACCCUUGUCCCGUCCUGUCGUAAUCUGCCUCUUCAUCAGAUGCUACGUGUGAUCAGGUACCUCUGUCCUCUACAACCCGCGCCUACCCGGAGAGACCAGCAGUCUGUUGCCGCUAACCCUGCUAUUCUCCUCUGCUGCUAGAAGGGGACUCUCCUGUAAAGAUCAGAGGACUUUAUGAUUUAUUUGUCGCCCUCUCUGCGGGUUGUCUAUUUUGUCAACCGAUACAUCUGAAGAGGAUUUAUGUCUUCCCUGUGUUUGGACAUUAAAAGACUCCGUUUCUGUUAAAACGCUUUUGGGUCCUCACUCACCUGCAUAACAUUGUUGACCAUCAGACGCAGGUACCAUCAGUCCAGUAAAAUCUAAAAGCGAAUUAUUAAAAUUCAUGCUCCACAGUGCCUCACAAGUGCUAAACCAACUAAUCUAUUUUGUUAUCAAAGCUCGAGUUUUGAAAUAUAAUAUGGUCUGAGAUUAACAAUAUUGGCAGGCCAAUCAUAUAGCCAAUAUGCUGUGAUAAUGCAUUAGGCCUACUGCCCAAACCUCAUUCCUACAAAACUGUUUGUGUGAGAUUAAUGUAGACCUCAGCUUGCUUUUUGACUGCAAAAGUGAUCUUGACUCAGAAAAGUUUGGUGACCACUGUAUUAAAUGGUAUGAGAGAUUCAAAAAUAGCUCAGCAAUAAAGACAAUGCAGCACUAUCAA